This is a non-coding RNA of Couchioplanes caeruleus subsp. caeruleus, 69 nucleotides long. It matches the Rfam family "ASpks TB sRNA". NCBI's taxonomy places the organism in Bacteria, Bacillati, Actinomycetota, Actinomycetes, Micromonosporales, Micromonosporaceae. The record is from Rfam.
CUUCACCGAACCCAGCAACAAAGGCAGCUCACGAUCCCGGCCAUACGCCGCCAGCAACGCCUGCGCCUC